GGCCAUCAAGAUGGCUCACUCUCGUGGCUGACAGUCGAUUCUGGCUACUGGGCGAGAGCUCAGCUGUGGCUGUCAGGGCUCACACAUGGCUUCCCCAUGUGACUGGCAACCUGGGACCCAAGCGUGGGAGUUGGGUUCCAAGGGCGAGUGUCCGCAAAGCAAACUUUCCAAGAGACCCACUCGUUGAAGCUCCAAGGCUUCUUACAAUCUACGGGAAUGACUACUGGGAGAUUUUAAAAGAUGAGGAAACCAAGUCACGGACAGGUGAAGUAACUUGGCCCGGCCCUUUAACUCCAAGUCCAGGACUCCUUGCCUUCAUGGUUUGUAAAUCAGGAGCUGGAGUGCUGCCGUCUGUUGAAGCCCUGCUCGCCGUUCCCAGCAUGAGGCUGGGUCCCCAGAAGAGGCUGAACCUAUGCUUGCUAAUGAAACAAAGGUCUUUUCUUUGAGAACUCACCAAAAGAAAGGGUUGCUUGGGUCUAUCUCUCUGGUGUACUUCACAGGACUUGAGAAAUGCAAACACAUUUUCAUUUACUAAGUAUGCAGGACAGGCAGACUCCCCCUGAACAGCCAUCUUUGAGAAGAGAGGUGUAAACCGGAGCACCCUGGAGCAGCUCCCUGCACCCUCCUUUGCUGCAGACACGGGUUGGCAUCCACGCUUGGCAGGGACACAGUGUAUCUACGACUGUGUGGUCACAGAGGAGGAUCUUGAGAGCUGAGCGAGCCCAGAUGCAUCUCUUCCACCAUCAAAAUGUAGAUCACCCCCAACCCAUCCUGUCUGACCAUGUCGCUGCUCAUCCCAAAACACCAACUAAACACCCCUGAACACACCCUUCUGCUGAGAGACUGGUGAGAACGAAGGGACAUGACCUACAGUGUGUUUAUUCUGAGGUAUUUCCUCUCCCAGGGCAUUGUGGGAGUUUGCCUGGCCUCCUUUCAAGGUCACCCCGCCCUGCCCAGGUGUCAGAGGACGUGCUGGAGGCUCCAAGGUUCCUCUCUCAUUCUCUCUGUAACAACUGCUGUUCUGCCCAGCGUGUUGUAGUUUACAAAGCCCUUUCACAUGUUCCCUCACGUGACACUCCCCGGAGACCUUGUGAGUUGGGUAUUAUUCUUAUUUUAAAGGAAAGGAAAAGCUGAUGGAAAGCGGAAGGGUAACCGGCUCAAAGAAAUGCAGUUAGUAAAAAUCAAAACUAGAACCUGAAUAACUGUCUUUGGACCCCAAACGCCAGCCCCUCCUGCUCUCCUGCAGCCCCCAGUGUCCUGAGGUUCCUCUGGGGCGUUCCCUGUAUUUGAGGACCCGCCAUGGCCCCUGCGGAACCACUCUGAGCUACUCAGCCAUCCCCCUCCGCCCACCCUGGUGUCUGCCAGUCUCCUCUGCAGAGCCAGCCGGGGAAGAGGAACCACCUCAGCCAGGCCACUCAGCUCCCAGGUUUUAGGCCCAGUAUGUGGCAUAGCACAAGUUGUCACCAUGAAGCUUAAUUUUUUUCUUCCCAAUCCUAAGUCUUUCAAAAACAGUCUCAGCUAAAU
RNAcentral lists this long non-coding RNA (1524 nucleotides) under Equus caballus (horse). RNAcentral's name for it is "lncRNA (ENSECAG00000050386.1)". The record is from RNAcentral. Lineage: Eukaryota; Metazoa; Chordata; Mammalia; Perissodactyla; Equidae.